AUGGCGUCGCAUCUGACGGACAUCCCCGACCACCUCCUGGCCGAGAUUUUCCUCCGGCUGCCCGACCCGACUGACCUCGCCCGCGCCUCCGCCGCCUGCGUGACCUUCCGCCAACUCGCCACCGACGGAUCCUUCCUCCGCAGAUUCCGCCGCCUCCACGCACCACCAAUCCUCGGAUUCCUCCGGGCCGGCGGCAUGUUCCGUCCCACCAUGCCGCCUCACCCCUCCGCGCCCGCCGCCCACGCGCUCGCCCUCGCCGCCGACUUCUCCUUCUCCUUCAUCCCCUCCCACUGCCACUGGACCGUGCAGGACAUCCGUGACGGCCGCGUACUCCUCGACCGCGACCUCCGGCGAGGAAAGCCGUCCCCGGUUUUCAAAGAUCUCGUGGUGUGCGACCCCUUGCACCGGCGGUAUGUCCUGCUCCCUCCGGUACCUCACGACAUAGGCGCCUCGCUUGAGCACCCGUUCCCCAUGGUACGCAAGGUCGAGUGCAAGCCUUUCCUCGUUCCCCUCGGCGAGGAGGAGCAGCGGCUGGAGAGACAGCAUAGAGUCAUCGUGAUGGCACAUUGCAAAACUAGUCUGGCUGCCUUCGUCUUCUCUUCAAGCACUGGACAAUGGCAAGCCGUUGCAUCCAAGGGCUGGAGUGAUUUGGCCCUUAGCGAGUGCGACAUGGCCCAGAUGUCAUGGGUCCACCCUUUUAUUCUCAGGCGCCAUUAUGCUUAUGGAUGCUUCUAUUGGGACUGGGUGGAAUUCGGGAGCGACAAGUUGCUCUUGCUUGACACCAAGAAUAUGGAGUUCUCCAUUGCUGACCUCCCGCCCGGAGAAUGGAACAAGAGAGGAUUAGCAAUUGUGGAGGCAGGGGAAAGCAGGCUUGGGAUGUUUGGUUUCCGUGGUGAAACUGCAUCCGAUCUAAGCUAUACCGUUGCAUGGAACAAAGGCAAGAGUCCCAGGCAGUGGCAGGUGGAGAAGACAAUCUCACUAGAUUCUGGAUACAGAUAUUAUAUCACAGAUGCAACACAGAGGUACUUGUUCUUGACAAAGACAAGUGCCUCAUCUCUAGAGAAUCCACUUGAUAAUGAACUUGUUGGAUAUUUCUCAAUCGAUGUCAAGACGUUGAAGCUUCAGAGGGUUUAUCAUAAACAACACUAUUUUAUGAAUGAGGCAUAUUCAUAUAUCAACUUCCCACCAUCAUUGUUGUCUUCAAGGAGAAUAUGA
This 1215-nucleotide ribosomal RNA is filed under the name Triticum aestivum (bread wheat). Its description in RNAcentral is "partial small subunit ribosomal RNA". The record is from RNAcentral. Lineage: Eukaryota; Viridiplantae; Streptophyta; Magnoliopsida; Poales; Poaceae.